RNAcentral lists this ribosomal RNA (279 nucleotides) under uncultured bacterium. RNAcentral describes it as "partial 16S ribosomal RNA". It matches the Rfam family "Bacterial small subunit ribosomal RNA", at positions 506 to 784 of the family's 1533-position model. The record is from RNAcentral.
UGCCAGCCGCCGCGGUAAUACGGAAGGUCCGGGCGUUAUCCGGAUUUAUUGGGUUUAAAGGGAGCGUAGGCGGGCUGGUAAGUCAGCUGUGAAAGUUCGGGGCUCAACCUUGAAAUUGCAGUUGAUACUGUCAGCCUUGAGUGCACGCAGGGGUGCUGGAAUUCAUGGUGUAGCGGUGAAAUGCUUAGAUAUCAUGAAGAACUCCGAUCGCGAAGGCAUGUGCCCGGAGUGCAACUGACGCUGAGGCUCGAAAGUGCGGGUAUCAAACAGGAUUAGAUA